This 754-nucleotide ribosomal RNA is filed under the name uncultured Lachnospiraceae bacterium. RNAcentral describes it as "bacterial SSU rRNA". It matches the Rfam family "Bacterial small subunit ribosomal RNA", at positions 28 to 782 of the family's 1533-position model. Lineage: Bacteria; Bacillati; Bacillota; Clostridia; Lachnospirales; Lachnospiraceae. The record is from RNAcentral.
GAUGAACGCUGGCGGCGUGCUUAACACAUGCAAGUCGAGCGAAGCACUUAAGUUUGAUUCUUCGGAUGAAGACUUUUGUGACUGAGCGGCGGACGGGUGAGUAACGCGUGGGUAACCUGCCUCAUACAGGGGGAUAACAGUUAGAAAUGGCUGCUAAUACCGCAUAAGACCACAGUACUGCAUGGUACAGUGGUAAAAACUCCGAUGGUAUGAGAUGGACCCGCGUCUGAUUAGGUAGUUGGUGAGGUAACGGCUCACCAAGCCGACGAUCAGUAGCCGACCUGAGAGGGUGACCGGCCACAUUGGGACUGAGACACGGCCCAGACUCCUACGGGAGGCAGCAGUGGGGAAUAUUGCACAAUGGGCGAAAGCCUGAUGCAGCGACGCCGCGUGAAGGAUGAAGUAUUUCGGUAUGUAAACUUCUAUCAGCAGGGAAGAAAAUGACGGUACCUGACUAAGAAGCCCCGGCUAACUACGUGCCAGCAGCCGCGGUAAUACGUAGGGGGCAAGCGUUAUCCGGAUUUACUGGGUGUAAAGGGAGCGUAGACGGCUGUGCAAGUCUGAAGUGAAAGGCAUGGGCUCAACCUGUGGACUGCUUUGGAAACUGUGCAGCUAGAGUGUCGGAGAGGUAAGUGGAAUUCCUAGUGUAGCGGUGAAAUGCGUAGAUAUUAGGAGGAACACCAGUGGCGAAGGCGGCUUACUGGACGAUGACUGACGUUGAGGCUCGAAAGCGUGGGGAGCAAACAGGAUUAGA